Molecule: ribosomal RNA, 503 nt
Filed under: uncultured bacterium
Lineage: Bacteria
Description: partial 16S ribosomal RNA
Rfam family: Bacterial small subunit ribosomal RNA
Source: RNAcentral
AUUGAACGCUGGCGGCAGGCUUAACACAUGCAAGUCGAGCGGGGUGAUGGUGCUUGCACUAUCACUUAGCGGCGGACGGGUGAGUAAUGCUUAGGAAUCUGCCUAUUAGUGGGGGACAACAUCUCGAAAGGGAUGCUAAUACCGCAUACGUCCUACGGGAGAAAGCAGGGGAUCACUUGUGACCUUGAGCUAAUAGAUGAGCCUAAGUCGGAUUAGCUAGUUGGUGGGGUAAGGGCCUACCAAGGCGACGAUCUGUAGCGGGUCUGAGAGGAUGAUCCGCCACACUGGGACUGAGACAAGGCCCAGACUCCUACGGGAGGCAGCAGUGGGGAAUAUUGGACAAUGGGGGGAACCCUGGUCCAGCCAUGCCGCGUGUGCGAAGAAGGCCUUAUGGUUGUAAAGCACUUUAAGCGAGGAGGAGGCUCUUUUGGUUAAUACCCAAGAUGAGUGGACGUUACUCGCAGAAUAAGCACCGGCUAACUCUGUGCCAGCAGCCGCAGUAA